CCUACGGGAGGCUGCAGUGAGGAAUAUUGGUCAAUGGACGAGAGUCUGAACCAGCCAAGUAGCGUGAAGGAUGACUGCCCUAUGGGUUGUAAACUUCUUUUAUCUGGGAAUAAAAUGUUCCACGUGUGGGGUUUUGUAUGUACCCUAUGAAUAAGGAUCGGCUAACUCCGUGCCAGCAGCCGCGGUAAUACGGAGGAUCCGAGCGUUAUCCGGAUUUAUUGGGUUUAAAGGGAGCGUAGGUGGAUUGUUAAGUCAGUUGUGAAAGUCUGGGGCUCAACCCUAGAAGUGCAGUUGAAACUGGCAGUCUUGAGUACAGGAGAGGUGGGCGGAAGGCGUGGUGUAGCGGUGAAAUGCUUAGAUAUCACGAAGAACUCCGAUUGCGAAGGCAGCGUACUGGAGUGCAACUGACACUGAGGCUCGAAAGUGUGGGUAUCGAACAGGAUUAGAUACCCGUGUAGUC
This 460-nucleotide ribosomal RNA is filed under the name uncultured bacterium. Its description in RNAcentral is "partial 16S ribosomal RNA". It matches the Rfam family "Bacterial small subunit ribosomal RNA", at positions 338 to 795 of the family's 1533-position model. The record is from RNAcentral.